CAAGUCGAACGAGAAAGCGGGGGCAACCCCGUGAGUAAAGUGGCGACCGAUGUGAGUAACACGUGACUAACCUACCCUCUAGUGGGGAAUAACCCCGGGAAACCGGGGCUAAUACCGCAUAAUAUCGGCGCUGUAAUGGUGCCGAUCAAAGGAGCAAUUCGCUGGAGGAGGGGGUCGCGGCUGAUUAGCUAGUUGGUGAGGUAACGGCUCACCAAGGCGGUGAUCAGUAUCCGGCCUGAGAGGGCGCACGGACACACUGGAACUGAAACACGGUCCAGACUCCUACGGGAGGCAGCAGUGGGGAAUUUUGCGCAAUGGGGGAAACCCUGACGCAGCAACGCCGCGUGGAGGAUGAGGUCCCUUGGGACGUAAACUCCUUUCGAACGGGACGAUAAUGACGGUACCGUAUGAAGAAGCCCCGGCUAACUUCGUGCCAGCAGCCCGCGGUAUACGAGGGGGGCA
RNAcentral lists this ribosomal RNA (462 nucleotides) under uncultured Acidobacteriaceae bacterium. RNAcentral describes it as "bacterial SSU rRNA". It matches the Rfam family "Bacterial small subunit ribosomal RNA", at positions 58 to 536 of the family's 1533-position model. Lineage: Bacteria; Pseudomonadati; Acidobacteriota; Terriglobia; Terriglobales; Acidobacteriaceae. The record is from RNAcentral.